RNAcentral lists this ribosomal RNA (271 nucleotides) under Klebsiella quasipneumoniae. RNAcentral describes it as "partial 16S ribosomal RNA". It matches the Rfam family "Bacterial small subunit ribosomal RNA", at positions 1 to 270 of the family's 1533-position model. Lineage: Bacteria; Pseudomonadati; Pseudomonadota; Gammaproteobacteria; Enterobacterales; Enterobacteriaceae. The record is from RNAcentral.
AAAUUGAAGAGUUUGAUCAUGGCUCAGAUUGAACGCUGGCGGCAGGCCUAACACAUGCAAGUCGAGCGGUAGCACAGAGAGCUUGCUCUCGGGUGACGAGCGGCGGACGGGUGAGUAAUGUCUGGGAAACUGCCUGAUGGAGGGGGAUAACUACUGGAAACGGUAGCUAAUACCGCAUAACGUCGCAAGACCAAAGUGGGGGACCUUCGGGCCUCAUGCCAUCAGAUGUGCCCAGAUGGGAUUAGCUAGUAGGUGGGGUAACGGCUCACCU